Molecule: long non-coding RNA, 2423 nt
Organism: Halichondria panicea
Lineage: Eukaryota; Metazoa; Porifera; Demospongiae; Suberitida; Halichondriidae
Exons: 3
Source: RefSeq, a predicted model, not a curated record
UUUGGCAUAAUUUUUAUUGAUCAAGCUACGUGCUAAACUUAACCAGGCCGCACUUCCUCGAAGAGUGGGCCUGGUAUCGACUGCUUGCGCAUGCGCUAACCUUCCACCAGUAUCUGCAGAUAACAACGUUUAUGGUCAGUAAAACAAUGACGUCACAACGAGCAGAAGUGGAUUGAAGGAAGUAGAUGAUCUAGCCCAUCUGAUCUUGGGGAGGCCAGUGAAGGGGCUAGUGCGGUCUGGGAUUCUGGGAUUCUAGUUCCUGUUACAGUUCCGUUGUCAUAGGCACGAGUGACUCCCCCAAAUAAUGACUCCCGGUCACUCCUAUACCUAUAGUCACCAUGUACCAGUGACCCCUGGUCACUCAUGCCUAGGAGUACCCCCCUGGAAAAAAUGACUCCCCCCAAAUUUAACUUGAGAGAGAUUUCAGCGGAGGCGCUAGGGCUACUAAGUUUUUUUUUUUUUUUUUUAUUGAAAAUAAUAGCAUAUAAGGUAGUGUAUAUACAGGGGAAUGGGCUUCUAUGUAGACACAAUGAAAGGUGGAGGGUACAGAAAAUAAAGAGGAUUAAGCUUUCCUUGACUGGCUGAGGAUUGUGGGAUUUUUUUAUCUCUCCAAAAAGAAGUACAGCCUGUUUGAGAUUGAAGACAAGUACAGUGGUAUGUUAAGUGUUUUUUAAAUGUAGCAACUUUGUGAUUGACUCUCCAUGGUAGUAUUUGCUGACAAAUUUAUUAUCACACUCAUGACUUUCACUUGUGGGAUUUUGUGGAAGUGUAGGUGUUGAAGUAGCAAAUGUAUAUAGGCUAGAAGUGACCCUUUAAUGUUACUACAUGCUAUUGUACACUUUAUUUGUAGUUAUACGAAUGGAUCGGCAAGUUUUUUGGGGAAGAGUUAUGAGAGAAUAAACGACGGAAGUGUCAGUUGUGGAAGACCCAAGAGUUUACAUCGGCAGACUGUAGCACGUUCACUGAACCACUAUAUACCAAAGAGGACGUUCAAGAAAAUUGCAUCAUUAUUUCUGUCUUUACAUCACGAGUAGACAUACAAUAAUUAUGUUAAAUUGUUUGUAUAAUGAAUUGUUUAUGAUCUAGAUCUAUAAAAGAGAAGUUAACAUGUUCUUGAACUUCUAUUAACACUGUGUCUGAUCCCACUGUAAACUAUUUCAUACAAUGGCGAAAACUCCUCUAAUACUAACUUCUGAAACACGAAUGGAAGCUAGUAGCCUAACUUGAUCCUAGUAGCCUUCCUGCCUGUCUCAUGUCUCUUUCUGGCUAGUCAGUAGUAGCCUUCCUGCCUGUCUUUUAGGCUGUUAAAGAUUAAAAUACUAAAAUUAUCAUAGGACAAAGGUCAAUUUCUAGUGACGGAGGCAGGAAAGGAAGAAAUUUAACCGUGACACACAUGGGCCGGGCAUUUACGUAUGCGUUUCCAAUCCCUCUCCUCUACUAUCUAUGGCAAGGUAUAUAGCCUCGUUCCCAGGCCUUACUUUUUCUUGCUGUUGUCACUGUUCAUCCAUAAAUCACAAGAAAGACAUAGUGAGGCAGCAAAGAAAGAAAUGGGCGUACAGUUAAGAAAAGUAAGGCCUGGUUUGGGAAAUCGCGUGAUCCACAAGGAUUUUUAUGAACGUGGGCGAUAUGUAGCCCACAAUCAUGACGUAAGGUAUUCUCCCACGCAUUCAGAGUUAAUAAAACUGUACUGAGACAACCACCCAAGCUGUGCUGCAAGUCAGAUCAGAGAACCAGUGUGGCCAGCAUGUACGACUGGCAUGGUUCAGACAUCAGAUCUACCUACGUAACGGUACUUACAUGUACUGUCCUACAGUCCCACAGUCUCAAACAAUUUACCUAUGUGUGGCUAUACUGGCAAUACAUUCAAUGAUUUCACAAUCCGGUGGGCAAGUGAUAGUCAAUGGACUGGACUCAAUGUCAACAUCUACAUGUGAAGAAAGCAAUUCCCAUUACCAUUCUCACAAGCAAUGCCUAGUGAAAGCUGAUGCUACCUUUAAUGAAGAAAGCUCACUGUGCCAUCUGAAGCGAUGGUAAAAUUUAAUUCUUACAAUGUGUCCGACAACCUGUACUGUGUGGAGGUGCCACUAUAAUUAUAUAUUUGAUAACUAAAUACUUAGUCACCUACUAGCUUCUUGGCUGAUAUCAUUCAUUACUUUUGUGCAUUUAUAUAAUUAUUAUUAUUAUAACAAUGUCAUAAUUAUUGUGAUGAAAAUUAAUGCCAUGGUGAUGAUCGUAACCAUAAAUAUAUUAUUAUUCUAUUUCUUAUUUCUUCAUUUCCUCAUUUCCUAUUUCUUAUUUCCUCAUUUCCUCAUUUCUUAUUUCUCAUUUCCUCAUUUCUCAUUCCCUGUUUUAUAACCCCUCAUUUUCACCCUUCUACCACCCUUCUACCCUCACGCGACUUCUACGUCUAUUUCUUUCUUUAU